UAUUGUAAUCUCUAUUUUUAUAUACACUGGUUUUUAUGUUUAAAAUGUUUUCAUAUGUCGUACCCAUUCACAUGAGUUUAAAACAUGAGACAUUGCGACUGCAAUUGUAUUUUCAUUUCUACUUUGCAUUUCAAUAUUUUGAGCAUUUGCGCUUCCCGUACUCCAGUCAGAACUAGUCUGCUGGAGGUAAGCUGUGCAUAGAGAGUGCUCCGUGAAUAAUUUUGUGUUUUAAUAUAAAAUAACAUGUUUGUCUUCCACACUGGUUCAAAUACGUAUAUACAUAAGUUGUAUUAAUAGAUAAUUUCUGCAAGUAAUGCUAGAGUGUUGUCUAAGAUGGUAUCUAAUUGAGCCAUUGUGGCCUACGUCUUUUUGGCGGCAGCCACGUUAUGUUAGCUAGCUUUAUGAAGAAAACACUUGCAAUUUCUUGAUUUCCUUUUUACGUUUAUACUGUAGAUUUGGGUAUGCAGUCGUCAUCGUCUAAUCUCAGUGGAUUCUUUGUUUUAUUUGUGAAUGCAGGAAUAGCAUAGACAAUGCUAGGAGUCAGAACUAGUCUGCUGGAGAUUUGGGUAUGCAGUCGUCAUCGUCUAAUCUCAGUGGAUUCUUUGUUUUAUUUGUGAAUGCAGAGAAAUAAAAACAGUGAGAAGAGUU
Alosa sapidissima (American shad) is the source of this 648-nucleotide long non-coding RNA. RefSeq lists it as uncharacterized. NCBI's taxonomy places the organism in Eukaryota, Metazoa, Chordata, Actinopteri, Clupeiformes, Clupeidae. The record is from RefSeq and is a predicted model, not a curated record. The transcript has 2 exons.